Molecule: ribosomal RNA, 243 nt
Filed under: uncultured bacterium
Lineage: Bacteria
Description: partial 16S ribosomal RNA
Rfam family: Bacterial small subunit ribosomal RNA
Source: RNAcentral
GAUCCUGCUCAGGAUGAACGCUAGCUACAGGCUUAACACAUGCAAGUCGAGGGGAAACGAUAUCGAAAGCUUGCUUUUGAUGGGCGUCGACCGGCGUACGGGUGAGUAACGCGUAUCCAACCUGCCCAUCACUUGGGGAUAACCUUGCGAAAGUAAGACUAAUACCCAAUGACGUCUCUAGAAGACAUCUGAAAGGGAUUAAAGAUUUAUCGGUGAUGGAUGGGGAUGCGUCUGAUUAGCUUG